Molecule: ribosomal RNA, 508 nt
Filed under: uncultured bacterium
Lineage: Bacteria
Description: partial 16S ribosomal RNA
Rfam family: Bacterial small subunit ribosomal RNA
Source: RNAcentral
GAUGAACGCUAGCUACAGGCUUAACACAUGCAAGUCGAGGGGAAACGAUAUUGGAAGCUUGCUUCCGAUAGGCGUCGACCGGCGCACGGGUGAGUAACGCGUAUCCAACCUGCCCAUCACUUGGGGACAACCUUGCGAAAGUAAGACUAAUACCCAAUGACGUCUCUAGAAGACAUCUGAAAGAGAUUAAAGAUCUAUCGGUGAUGGAUGGGGAUGCGUCUGAUUAGCUUGUUGGCGGGGUAGCGGCCCACCAAGGCGACGAUCAGGAGGGGUUCUGAGAGGAAGGUCCCCCACAUUGGAACUGAGACACGGUCCAAACUCCUACGGGAGGCAGCAGUGAGGAAUAUUGGUCAAUGGGCGAGAGCCUGAACCAGCCAAGUAGCGUGCAGGAUGACGGCCCUAUGGGUUGUAAACUGCUUUUAUAAGGGAAUAAAGUGAGCCACGUGUGGCUUUUUGCAUGUACCUUAUGAAUAAGGACCGGCUAAUUCCGUGCCAGCAGCCGCCGUAA